GAUGAACGCUGGCGGCGUGCCUAAUACAUGCAAGUCGAGCGAACAGACGAGGAGCUUGCUCCUCUGACGUUAGCGGCGGACGGGUGAGUAACACGUGGAUAACCUACCUAUAAGACUGGGAUAACUUCGGGAAACCGGAGCUAAUACCGGAUAAUAUAUUGAACCGCAUGGUUCAAUAGUGAAAGACGGUUUUGCUGUCACUUAUAGAUGGAUCCGCGCCGCAUUAGCUAGUUGGUAAGGUAACGGCUUACCAAGGCAACGAUGCGUAGCCGACCUGAGAGGGGGAUAGGCCACACUGGAACUGAGACACGGUCCAUACUCCUACGGGAGGCAGCAGUAGGGAAUCUUCCGCAAUGGGCGAAAGCUUGACGGAGCAACCCCGCGUGAGUGAUGAAGGUCUUCGGAUCGGAAAACUCUGUUAUUAGGGAAGAACAAAUGUGUAAGUAACUAUGGACGUAUUGACGGUACCUAAUCAGAAAGCCACGGCUAACUACGUG
This 497-nucleotide ribosomal RNA is filed under the name uncultured bacterium. RNAcentral's name for it is "partial 16S ribosomal RNA". It matches the Rfam family "Bacterial small subunit ribosomal RNA", at positions 28 to 507 of the family's 1533-position model. The record is from RNAcentral.